RNAcentral lists this non-coding RNA (28 nucleotides) under Rattus norvegicus (Norway rat). The record is from RNAcentral. Lineage: Eukaryota; Metazoa; Chordata; Mammalia; Rodentia; Muridae.
CAUGAAACUAGGUUGUGGACCUCCCGAU